GUCGAACGACUCGGACUAUGGCGAGAAGUGGCAAACUGCUCAGUAACACGUAGCUAACCUACCCUCAGGACGGAGACAACCCCGGGAAACUGGGGUUAAUCCCCGAUAGGCGUGGAUUCCAGGAAUGGUGCCACGCCGAAACGUUAACACACCAUGUUUGUGUACACGCCUGAGGAUGGGGCUGCGGCCGAUCAGGCAGUUGGUGAGGUAACGGCUCACCAAACCUUUGACCGGUACGGGCCGUUAGAGCGGUAGCCCGGAGAUGGACACUGAGACAAGGGUCCAGGACCUACGGGUCGCAGCCGGUACGAAACCUCCACAAUGCACGCGAGUGCGAUGGGGUUACCUCGAGUGCCGUCUGAAGAAGGCGGCUUUUCCAUUGUGUAAUGAGCCGUGGGAAUAAGGGGGGGGCAAGACUGGUGUCAGCCGCCGCGGUAACACCAGCCCCCCGAGUGGUGGGGAUGUUUAUUUGGCCUAAAACGUCCGUAGCCAGCUAGGUAAAUCUCUCGUUAAAUCCAGCGUCCUAAGCGUUGGGCUGCGAGAGAGACUGCCAAGCUAGAGGGUGGGAGAGGUCAGCGGUAUUUCUGGGGUAGGGGCGAAAUCCAUUGAUCCCAGGAGGACCACCAGUGGCGAAGGCUGCUGACUAGAACACGCCUGACGGUGAGGGACGAAAGCUGGGGUAGCGAAUCGGAUUAGAUACCCGAGUAGUCCCAGCCGUAAACGAUGCAGGCUAGGUGUUGGGUUGGCCACGUGCCGACUCA
RNAcentral lists this ribosomal RNA (761 nucleotides) under uncultured archaeon. RNAcentral's name for it is "bacterial SSU rRNA". It matches the Rfam family "Archaeal small subunit ribosomal RNA", at positions 57 to 797 of the family's 1478-position model. The record is from RNAcentral.